GAUGAAGAACGCAGCGAAAUGCGAUAACUAAUGUGAAUUGCAGAAUUCCGUGAAUCAUCGAGUCUUUGAACGCACAUUGCGCCCCCUGGUAUUCCGGGGGGCAUGCCUGUCCGAGCGUCAUUGCUGCCCAUCAAGCACGGCUUGUGUGUUGGGUCCUCGUCCCCCCCGGGGGACGUGCCCGAAAGGCAGCGGCGGCACCGCGUCCGGUCCUCGAGCGUAUGGGGCUUUGUCACCCGCUCUGCAGGCCCGGCCGGCGCUGGCCGACGCGAAAGCAACCAUUUUUUCUCCAGGUUGACCUCGGAUCAGGUAGGGAUACCCGCUGAACUUAAGCAUAUCAAGAAGCGGAGGA
RNAcentral lists this unclassified non-coding RNA (349 nucleotides) under soil metagenome. RNAcentral describes it as "partial contains 5.8S ribosomal RNA, internal transcribed spacer 2, and large subunit ribosomal RNA". The stretch from base 1 to 120 matches the Rfam family "5.8S ribosomal RNA", at positions 35 to 154 of the family's 154-position model. The record is from RNAcentral.